AAUGCUAACAUUAACCAGCCGCCUUCUGUCUCAGCCCAUGUAGGCGGGGAUGUAGGGUUUGUUGGCAAUCGUCGGAGUUUCAGGCAGACUGUUUGCCGCCACUGGCUGCGGUCACUGUGUAUGAAGGGUGAAACCUGUGGCUUUCUUCAUCAGUAUGAUAAAUCUCGAAUGCCAAUCUGUCGGUUUUUUAGAUUGUAUGGGGAGUGCCGUGAACAGGACUGUGUUUAUAAGCACACCAUUGAGGAUAUCAAGGAAUGCAACAUGUAUGGUUUUUUUUACUGAGUGUUUUACUUUCUGGAUAGCCUGUGGAUUUCUUCAUCAGUAUGAUAAAUCUCGAAUGCCAAUCUGUCGGUUUUUUAGACUGUAUGGGGAGUGCCGUGAACAGGACUGUGUUUAUAAGCACACCAUUGAGGAUAUCAAGGAAUGCAACAUGUAUGACUUUUUUUAUACUGAGUUGUUUACUUUCUGGUUAUGCUCAUCUAUCUUUAAUUACGCAACCAACCAGAUACUAUAUAUAUUUAGCGUAAACUGGUAAUUGAAGAAAAUAAAUACUCGUAUAUGUUGCAAUUGGCUGUGAGGCUUCCUACUAGAAUAAUGCUAUUAUCUCCGUCCAAACUUUAGCUUCUAUGAGGCCCCCAGAGCUUUAGUCUCAGCCUUGCAUGUCGUAGAGGUUGUUUUUUAAUCUUAAUGACCGAAAUCCCCGAGGGCCAAUGACACAUGGUUCGGAACUCCGUGGAUAAUGGACUUUCCCGUCUAUGCUUCUCCACUUAAAUACCAGAUUUUGUCUGCAGCAGGGUUUGAACUCGUGACAUAGGUGCUUAAGUUGUUUA
RNAcentral lists this long non-coding RNA (830 nucleotides) under Nicotiana benthamiana. RNAcentral describes it as "long non-coding RNA (NBEN_LNC028277)". Lineage: Eukaryota; Viridiplantae; Streptophyta; Magnoliopsida; Solanales; Solanaceae. The record is from RNAcentral.